GGAAUGCUUAUUGCUGCAGGGGAAAACUUACGCCGACUAAAUUCAAUCAGUAAUAUUCAGCAAAAGACAAGAUAAGGAUUGAACUUAUGAAUCCUAUUUUAGUUACCUAUAAUAGAAAAGAUAGCUAUUAUGGCAUCUCUAAAGGAAUACAACCCCUCCCCUUUAGAGAAUGGAAGAGUCCUGGAAGGAGAAACCAGGAAGAGAGUGCCGGUGAUGGCAUGUCAUGUGUCAGUUCACAUGCUGACACCAAUUUCACCACAAGCAACUGUUUUCUUCUCUUUUUAUUAUUCUAGAAUAUCUUGCUCGUGCAUAGACCAUGCCUAAAGCGAGUAAGAAAAGCGAUAUCUGGAUGAGAUGUCCGCAAUGUGUUCGACAAUUCAAUGCAGUGGAGGACCUGCAAGACCACGUUCAAAAUUCACAUCCCCCUCAGAAAGAGUGGGCUUGCCCCAAAUGCAACUAUACCGCCGAUCGCCAAAGUCACGUCACAAAACAUGACCGUAGAGUACAUAAGGAGAGACAGAUUCCUAGUAGUAAAUCAACUUCAGAGAUGACAACUCCCAUUCGUCCAGCAGUACAACGCACAAAUACUCCAGUGCCUGGAAAUGCAGAAAAGGAGAAAGGGCAACAGGAAGCUCGGUCGGAGACACCCUUGUCCACAAGUACGCAUUCACGUCCUGUGCUGUCGACUGGCACCGCUGAGGAUUUCACCGGUCCUACCGCUCGUUCAGUGAUAGCGAAUGCGAAAGAGGAGGUUGCACAGAGGUUGAAAUUAACCAGACGUUCUGAGAAAAGAAAGGGUCAACCCUACCGUCGUGUGAUUGAAACAGUUGUCUUCCCUGAUGGCAGGGUGUACACAACUGAGACCAAGGAGUUGAUAUAAUGCAGGACUUAAUUUGUACAGCUAGUUUUGUGAAUUCGAUUUUUUGUAUUGUUGUUUUUAAAGGUCUGCACGGUACCGUAGCUUGUAGUUGAUAUUUCACCAUGUUCUUUCCCCUGAAAGCAGGCGUUGUACAUAGUGUGAUCAGGCCCAAAAGAUUCGAUUGUUUUGUUGAUAAAUAAUGCCCCCUCCCCCCGAUGUUAUAGAAGACCACAGAGAGCACUUUCUUUCAGCAGGGAAAUAAUAUUUUACUUUUGCGGGUUUUACUCCAGCUAGGGAGUUUAUUUUGGAGUUAAAAGAGAACCUAGAAUAGGGGAUUAAUGCUUUCACCAUUAGUAGGUCCAUGCUUUCACUAUGCUUCCUGUAAUUUUAAUGCAGUUAUUUAUAGUUGUUUAUUAAAUCUUAAGUCUAUUUUCAGACGAUUCAAACAAUCAUUACAUAUAUUUAUUUGUCCUUGUGGGUUUUUGAGAGAACAUAAAACUGCUAUAGUUCAAUAUUUGCAUAGAGUUUUAUCUUGACUUAAGUAUUAUGUUUUGCGGAUGCACAAGUAAUUUGGAAUUGCUUGGUUAUUGAACGUAAAGGUUAUACAUAUAGUAGGAUUUAUUCUAUGCUUAACCUUUAGAUGAAAAGAUAAAUAAGUGCAUCACUUAUUUACCAGAAUUGCAACGCAUUUUUUCAAAAAUGGGAUAGUUACUUGAAUUUGUUGGAACUGCAAUUGAACCAUUUAUAUUACCAGUGAUAUACUUAGUUAUUAUGUGAGUUGUAUUGUCUAAACCAGGAAAAGUUUAGUUAGAAUGAACUAAAAUCGUAUUUCAUUUUAUUAUAUAGACAUUGUUUUAAGCUGUUUAUAAACUUAGAGUUUAGAUUAGGUUUUAUUAUUAGAGAAGAUCUAGCGCAUGCAGAUUGAUAUGUUAUGGCUUUAUCGUUCUAUUAAACCGAAGCAUGAAAAUGUGUUCGUGGUCGUCAUUUCUAUAUAUUGAUUACUUUAGUUAUGAUUAUUCUUUCUUAUUGAGAUGAUAUUAAGAUCGAGCAAUAGAAGUCAUUCUACAUGUUGACACCAAUUUCACCACAA
RNAcentral lists this long non-coding RNA (1949 nucleotides) under Strongylocentrotus purpuratus (purple sea urchin). RNAcentral's name for it is "uncharacterized LOC115920752". The record is from RNAcentral. Lineage: Eukaryota; Metazoa; Echinodermata; Echinoidea; Camarodonta; Strongylocentrotidae.